Molecule: long non-coding RNA, 8521 nt
Filed under: Lactuca sativa (garden lettuce)
Lineage: Eukaryota; Viridiplantae; Streptophyta; Magnoliopsida; Asterales; Asteraceae
Description: long non-coding RNA (LSAT_LNC003294)
Source: RNAcentral
AAACUAGAAACGUUAUAUGUUGUUAUUAUUGGUUUUAGGUCAAGAUAAAACCUGGUUUUACUUCAAGAUAUAGCUGUUAUACUGCUUAAAUAUUAUGAAGUUAGAAGUAAUGUUUAAAAGCAUAGUCUAGUAACUUAGGGUUUUAGACAUGAAGAUUCUUUUGUUGUUAGAGGUAUAGGAAGCCGUCAAAGUCUACAUGAGUAAUUGUAUUCAUCAACUAAGAUUGGGGAUCUUAGUGGAAAUCCUCUGAACUGUAACCGUUAAUCUCGUGUGAGCGAGGAAGUCGUGUAUAAUUAGUAUACGGGUUGACCACCCCACUUGUGACUGUUAGCUACAGUCAACCAAAAGCAAGUGAUGAACUAUCCUUUUAUUUGUUAUUGUUCCAGCGUCGAUGAAGCGUACGGUGUUUUUUCUCAUAGUAAAUCAUGAGUGUGUUUGUUUCUCAUGGUAAAUCAUGAGUAUGUUCUAUCAGAGGUAUUAUGUCAUAGCAGCGGUUACAGGCUCAUGGUAGCAAAUUGUUAGAAACAUUAUACCUUUUCGUAUACAAGUAUUAAUGUUAAGUAUAAGUUUUCCCUUAGUUAUACCUUAGGAUUAAGAAAUGUUUAUGUAUAACACUCAAUUGAUAAGUAUACUAUUAUACCUAAUAUACAUACUAAAUGUUGGAGAUUCAAAAUGAUACUUUCAAAACUAUACUUUUGAAUGUGUGAAAAUGUAUUAUUUUAUGGAGUCAAAACCUGUGGACUCACCAACUUUAUGUUGACGUAUUUUUAAAAUGCAUGUGUUUUCAGGAACUUGAAAAGCUAGUAUGUAUUCGAACAGGAGAAGUUUUACUAUUAUCUUUCUGUUUAUUAAGAAGUAUGCCAAAGUCGGAUAUUAUGUAAUAAAUACUAGGAAAACAAUAAUGUAACUUACAAUCAUCAAUAAAGGUAUGUAUUUUCUUUAGUAUUGUUCAAUGUAUGUUAUAUAACUGUGAUACGAAAAAUGACGUUACACUACCCGGUGUUUCCGCCAACGGCCGGGGUGUGACAGAUUGGUAUUAGUGCUAUUAACUAUAGUGAACUGGUACUUUCUUAGGAAAACACGUCUAUAGUAUUAGGACUUACUCUAUUAGGUUUAGGUAUAUCCCUUAGCCUAUAAAUAAUAAGUAUUAUUAAUUAUUCUACUGAAGGACUACUUACGGGAGCAGUGACAAGGAUAGACAUGUCGAUUUGGGUUGGUGGAUUUCAGAACGGCUAUAUGCUAAAAUGAUCCUGCCCUCUCGACAGUCCUGACUGGCCGGAGCCUUAUUAGAUAGACCUAAGGUAACAAACAAUAGUAAAAGCGUGAAUACAAUAAAUAAGAAUAUAGAGUCAUAUAUAAAGACUCAGGCCCGCGAUGAGAAUACACCUUAAUACCCGGAAUGUUUUUGAUCUCAAGGAUUUAGAUCAAAUAUUCCAACUAAAUUUUAUAUGUGCAUAAAUCCUAUCAUAACUAGGUGUAGGUGCACAACUACAUUUUAUUAUGAUCAGAUCAUAUGAACUAUUUAAUUUGGGAGAAAUAUUUGAUAGAAUAAACUCUUGGAGAUCCAAACUGUAUAGGAAUCCGACAUGGCACAUUCAUGUGAAUGGAUAAUCAUCGAGGAUACAGAUGAAGAAGAGGAAGUUUCAUUCCCUAUGAUGGUAGGCGAUCCUUACUACCCUGUAACUCCAACCACCUUUCAUCCAAUACCUUCUGACGAUGGAGCACCUUUACCCUCCAACGAAUGGGAAGAGAGUGAACCAAUGGAAGAAAGCGAAUCCAUGGAGGAGACAGAGUCGGUGGCAUCAUCUCUACCACCACUGAACACUCUUUACCGUAAAGUUCCAGGAGGAGUAAAAAUGAAACGCACUGCACGUAAAUCUAUACCGAUAUGGAAAAAGCUUAAGAAGAGUCAGAAGGCAACAUCUUCAGGAAGUCAUAGAGUUCAAGAUGAACCUGCACGAAUCGCACAAACAGUUGAUAGAUGGGUGGCAGAAGAAAAAUCUGCCAAGAUGUAUGAGACUGGUCAGUCAUCUCGACCACAUCUCCCAAAUUCUUCUAAAGAUAACACUUUAUCUCAAUUGUUUGAGAAAAGUGUGAAAAUUGAACAUAAGAUGGAAAUUGUCGAAAGGAGGGCUACUCAUCUCUCUGGAAGAGUGCGAAGGCUAGAAGGACAAAGGACACGAGAUCAGGAAUCGAUGAUGGAUGUCCAUCAUCGUAUAAAUUUUGCUUAUAAUGACAUGAUUGCUUACGAUGCCAGGAUUGCAGAGUUAGAGCUCUACAAUCAAACCUCAAGAAAUGAAGAACGCACGGGAAGUCUUGCGCAGAGAACUCAAGCACUUAAAGAGCAAGUGGUUAAUGUCACUGACGUGCUGGGUCAACACUUAGGGUUCUCAUAGAUAAGCUACAACUAGUGGUUAUGUAAAUAGAGAAAAUCAGACUAGUUAAGGCGAAAAGAGGAAAGUUUAUAGCAAGGAUGUAGAAAACCUUGCAAAUUGUGCGAUGUUUAUAGAAACUUUUCUCUUAUAAACCUAAAUAAACUGAUGUAACCACUGGUAAUAAUAUGAAGCAUACGUUACAGUAAUCAUUAUGUUGUCUAUUAUGUUUUACGCUGUGAAUAAUAACUAGAAUAUUUAGUACUCGUGUAUUAAAUGAUUAACAAAACUCAUUAAAAUUCUUAUUAUUUAUAAUAGGAACUAAAACAAAAUGCCUAGAAGGAGUAAACGGCUAAACCCUAACCGACCAUCAGCACCACAACAACAACAACAACAACCACAACCACCACCAGAAACAAACCCCUCAAUAAGUACAGUGCAACUUGAAGAAAUCGUAGCUCAAAGAAUUGUUGCGGCUCUAUCUAAUGUCACAAGAGAUGGAGUUAGAAAUGAAGGCCAUGUAGGGACCGCUAGAACAUGUACCUACAAAGAUUUUAUGAAUUGCAGGCCAAAAAUCUUUCAUGGAAAUGAAGUGGUAGUGAAUUUGACAAGGUGGAUAGAAAAGACAAAUCCGUCUUUCAAAUAAGCUUUUGUCCAGAUGAUUGUAAAGUACGAUUUGCAGCAUGUACUUUCGCUAACGCAACACUUACAUGGUGGAAUAGCCAGAAUACAACGGGAAUUGAUACUACAAAUUCCAUGAAAUGGGAGGAGCUAAAAAUGAUGCUAGUAGAGGAGUAUUGUCCUAGGGAGGAGAUACAUAAACUGGAACAAGAACUGUGGACCCUAACCAUGAAAGGUUCACAGAUAAAAGCUUAUACCGCUAGAUUUAAUGAUCUUGUUGUAACGUGUCUAGCACUUGUAACCCCUGAAUAUAAAAAGAUUAAGCGAUAUAUCUGGGGUUUAGCAUCGCAAAUCAAAGGCAUGGUGAUCACAUCAAAGCCUACGACUUAUGACAGCACCAAGAGGAUAGCCAGCUAACCCNCACAGAGAUCCAAGGAACAGAAGUGGUCUCAAAGGCUGAGUCUCCCAAAUAUAGAAAAAAAAAAAGCGCAAGUUUAAUAGGAAGAACCCCAAACAAUCAUCUGAGAAAAGACAUGAAGUGGCAACCAACUACGCAACCACAACAGCAGUACCUACUCAACAAAAAUCUUCAUGGUGCAAUCAAUGCAACUGUCAUCAUCUAGGUGACUGUUUUGAUUGCAUGAAGUGCAAGAAAAAGGGGCAUAUUGCUAGUUACUGCAGGAGCACAACACCUGCAACAGUCGAUCAACAAACCAAUAACGGGACAGGCUGUGGUGAAGGAAGAAAUUGCUACGAGUGUGGGGAGGUUGGACAUAUCAAGAAAGAAUGUCCUAAGUUAAGGAGUCAAGGAGGCAUAGGACGUGGUAGGGCGUUUGUGAUUGGAAGCAGAGAGGCUAUCCAGGACCCUUCGGUCGUAUCUGGUACGUUUCUUUGAGAUAAUUUAUAUGCUUCUAUACUCUUUGACUCUGGAGCAGAUCGAAGUUUUAUAACUCCGACAUUUAGAAAAUUGUUAAGUCAUAAGUCUAGCAUAUUAAAAGAAAUCUAUGAAGUAGAAAUUGCUAAUGGUCAAACUGAGAAAACACAUGAAAUCCUAGAAAACUGUCUGUUAACUCUUAAUAACUACCUUUUUCACGUCAACCUGAUGCCAAUGCCUAUUGGUAGUUUUGAUGUUAUAAUUGGCAUGGAUUGGUUAUCUUCACACCGCGCCGAAAUUCUAUGUCAUGAGAAAGCCAUACGACUACCCUUACCAAACGGCGAAGCUCUGAUUAUCUAUGGCGAUAAAUCUGGGAAGAACCUCAAAGUCAUCUCUUGUACUAAAACCCAUAAAUAUCUACAUAAGAAAUGUAGCGCAUUCUUAGCUCACAUUGUAGAUAGGAAGAGAAAGACAAAAGAAAUCAAGGACAUACCUCAAGUAUGUGAUUUCCCUGACGUGUUUCCUGAAGAUCUACCUAGAAUACCUCCCGUCCGACAAGUUGAGUUUCAAAUCGACUUAAUUCCAGGAGCAAUACCAGUAGCAAAAUCUCCUUAUUGGUUGGCUCCAUCUGAAAUGCAAGAAUUGUCUAGCCAACUACAAGAACUUCUUGACAAAGGCUUUAUCCGACCAAUUUUUUCACCUUGGGGAGCACCAAUCUUAAUUGUCAAGAAGAAGGAUGGAUCCUUUCGAAUGUGUAUUGAUUAUCGGGAGCUGAACAAGCUAACGAUCAAGAAUCGUUAUCCACUUCCAAGAAUUGAUGAUUUAUUCGAUCAACUGCAAGGAUCUAGCGACUACUCAAAGAUAGAUCUUAGAUCAGGAUACCAUCAACUCAGAGUACAAGAAGACGACAUUCCAAAAGCAGCAUUUAGAACUCGUUAUGGUCAUUAUGAGUUCUUAGUUAUGUCUUUUGGAUUAACCAAUGCCCCAGCAGUGUUUAUGGAUCUCAUGAAUCGUGUUUGCAAACCAUACUUGGAUAAAUUCGUGAUCGUAUUUAUCGAUGAUAUAUUGAUAUAUUCACGAACCAAGGAAGAACAUGGUCAACACCUGCAAAUAAUCUUGGAACUACUAAGAAAAGAAAAGUUGUACACUAAAUUCUCCAAAUUUGAGUUUUGGAUUAGCGAAGUACAAUUUUUAGGUCAUGUAGUUAGCAACGAAGGGAUUCAUGUUGACCCAUCCAAAGUUGAAGCAAUCAGGAAUUGGGAAGCACCAAAGACGCCAACAGAGGUGCGUCAAUUCCUAGGACUUGCUAGCUAUUACCGAAGAUUCAUAAAGAAUUUCUCCAAAAUAGCCAAGCCAAUUACAACACUAACCCAGAAAAAUAUGAAGUUCAACUGGGAAGACAAACAAGAAGCUACUUUUCAGAAACUGAAGCAAAUGUUGUGUAGUGCACCAAUCCUAACCCUUCCAGAUGGAACAGAAGAUUUCGUCGUGUACUGCGACGCAUCAAAUCAAGGAUUAGGAUGUGUGUUGAUGCAGAUAGGAAAAGUUAUCGCCUAUGCAUCACGAAAACUGAAGAUGCAUGAGAAUAAUUACACUACCCUUGAUCUUGAAUUGGGAGUUGUAGUUUUUGCACUAAAAAUUUGGAGACAAUACUUAUACGGUACUAAGUGUACUAUUUUUACCGACCACAAGAGUCUCCAACACAUCUUCGACCAAANAAUAUGAGACAAAGAAGAUGGGUUGAAUUGUUGAAUGAUUACGAUUGUGAGAUUCGUUAUCAUCCAGGAAAAGCAAACGUGGUAGUACAUGCCUUGAGCAGGAAAGAAUAUAUUAAACCCCGACGGGUACGAGCAUUAACUAUAACUAUCCAUUCUAACUUUACCGCACAAAUUAGAAAAGCUCAGCUUGAUGCUCUAAAAGAAGAAAACAUCAAGAACGAAGCUUUGCAUGGAAUGGAAAAGCAACUUAUACGAAAAGAUGACGGAAUACAAUACUUUAUGAACCGAGUUUGGACGCCUAGGUUUGGUAAAAUCAAGGACUUGGUCUUAGAAGAAGCCCACAAGUCCAGAUAUUCUGUGCAUCCAGGUUCUGACAAAAUGUAUGUAGAUUUAAAGUACAUUAUUGGUGGCCAAACAUGAAGGNGCUACUUAUGUGAGCAGAUAUUUGACUUGUUCUUGAGUGAAGGCAGAACAUCAAAAGCCUUCAGGUUUACUUCAACAAUCGGAAAUACCUGAAUGGAAAUGUGAGCAGAUAUCAAUGGACUUCAUCACUAAGUUACCUAAAACUCCUAGUGGGUCCGACACUAUUUGGGUGAUAGUUGAUAGAUUGACUAAAUCUGCCCAUUUCUUACCAAUUAAGGAGAACGACAAGAUGGAGAAACUGACUAGAGUUUAUCUUAAGGAAAUUGUCAGAUUGCAUGGAGUUCCAAAUUCUAUUAUUUCUGACCGUGAUAGUAGAUUCACUUCACGAUUUUGGCAAUCUCUACAAAAAUCCUUAGGAACACGUCUAGACAUGAGUACAACUUACCAUCCACAGACUGAUGGUCAGAGUGAGAGAACCAUUCAGACUUUAGAAGAUAUGCUCCGAGCCUGUGUAAUAGACUUUGGAAAUGAGUGGGAUACUCAUUUACCGUUAAUUGAGUUUUCCUACAACAAUAGUCAUCACACCAGCAUCAAGGCUGCACCGUUUGAGGGUCUUUGUGGACGAAAAUGUCGUUCCCCAGUAUGUUGGGAAGAAGUUGGAGAUACGCAGAUGGCCAGGGAAUGUAUAUGUGAUACCUUACGUACUGGACCAAAAAUAAUCCACGACACAACUGAAAAGAUCAUGCAAAUUAAGGAUCGAUUAAAGGCUGCACGUGAUCGUCAAAAGAGCUAUGCUGACGUAAAACGUAAGCCUUUAGAAUUCCAAGUUGGAGAUAAAGUAAUGUUGAAAGUCUCUCCUUGGAAAGGUGUAAUUCGGGAAGCGAGGCAAACUAAACCCAUGGUAUAUAGGACCUUUUGAAAUUCUGGCAAGAAUUGGUUCUGUCGCAUACCAACUCAAGUUGCCUCAAGAGCUAAGUAAUGUACACGAUAUUUUUCACGUAUCAAGUCUCAAAAUAUGUCUAUCCGAUGACACUCUUUUUUUACCUCUCGAUGAGAUACAAGUCAAUGCCAAACUCAACUUCGUAGAAGAACCUGUCGAGAUCAUGGAUCGAGAAGUCAAACAAUUAAAGCAAAGUCGUAUUCCCAUAGUGAAAGUUCGAUGGAAUUCUUUACGAGGACAUGAAUUUACUUCGGAAUGUGAAGAUCAGAUGAAAUCAAAAUACCCCCAACUAUUUGAUAAAACCUUAUCCACAAGAUAAAUUUCAGGACGAAAUUGUUCUAACGGGGAGAGAAUGUGACACAAGCCAAAAUAGGUCAAUAACAAUCACAUGUGAUUAUGCUAAUAAUGUAAUGUGAUAAAUGUCCUAUGUAUUUCAUGAUAAUUUAUAAUACAAAUAUGAACUUUUUUUAUGAUACAACUCAAAGUAUACGUCCAUACGCUUCCAAAAAUAUAGAGAACGUCUGAAUCUGACUUCGCAUGAAGAAGUUAUGACAAACCGAACACUAUAAAUCUCUAUAAUAAGAGGAAUUUAAAAUAGACUUAGAAUUAGCUAUUUAAUUCUAAAAUAGAGUUGUAGUACUCUUAAAUACCUACGCGUGCAUAUAAAGAACGUCAAAAACGGAGUUCGUAUGUGAAAGUUACGACCUUCCGAAGAUUCAGCUGUCAAAAACCCUAAUCUAACUGAGCUCGCGACGUAAGCACAGGAAUCACGACGUGAAAAGUCAUUUAUCCAUAUCUCGGAAUCUAGAAGGUGUGUGACGAGGCUACAAGGGGAUCAGAUCCAAACUCACGACGUGAGCAAAACUGGAUAUGUUAUAUGUUGUUAUUAUUAGUUUUAUGUCAAGAUAAAACAUGAUAUGUUAUAUGUUGUUAUUGUUAGUUUUAUGUCAAGAUAAAGCCGGAUAUGUUAUAUAUUGUUAUUGUUAGUUUUAUGUCAAGAUAAAACCGGAUAUCUUAUAUGUUGUUAUUGUUACUUGUAUGUCAAGAUAAAACUUGGUAAUGUUAUUGAUAGUUUUAUGUCAAGAUAAAACUAGAAACAUUAUAUGUUGUUAUUAUUGGUUUUAGGUCAAGAUAAAACCUGGUUUUACUUCAAGAUAUAGCUGUUAUACUGCCUAAAUAUUAUGAAGUUAGAAGUAAUGUUUAAAAGCAUAGUCUAGUAACUUAGGGUUUUAGACAUGAAGAUGCUUUUGUUGUUAGAGCUAUAGGAAGCCGUCAAAGUCUACAUGAGUAAUUGUAUUCAUCAACUAAGAUUGGGGAUCUUAGCAGAAAUCCUCUGAACUGUAACCGUUAAUCUUGUGUGACCGAGGAAGUCAUGUAUAAUUAGUAUACGGGUUGACCACCCCACUUGUGACUGUUAGCUACAGUCAACCAAAAGCAAGUGAUGAACUACCCUUUUAUUUGUUAUUGUUCCGGCGUCGAUGAAGCGUACGGUGUUGUUUCUAAUGGUAAAUCAUGAGUGUGUUUGUUUCUCAUGGUAAAUCAUGAGUGUGUUCUAUCAGAGGUAUUAUGUCAUAGCAGCGGUUACAGGCUCAUGGUAGCACAUUGUUAGAAACAUUAUACCUUGUCGUAUACA